UGGGGAAUAUUGCACAAUGGGCGCAAGCCUGAUGCAGCCAUGCCGCGUGUGUGAAGAAGGCCUUCGGGUUGUAAAGCACUUUCAGCGGGGAGGAAGGCGAUAAGGUUAAUAACCUUGUCGAUUGACGUUACCCGCAGAAGAAGCACCGGCUAACUCCGUGCCAGCAGCCGCGGUAAUACGGAGGGUGCAAGCGUUAAUCGGAAUUACUGGGCGUAAAGCGCACGCAGGCGGUCUGUCAAGUCGGAUGUGAAAUCCCCGGGCUCAACCUGGGAACUGCAUUCGAAACUGGCAGGCUAGAGUCGUGUAGAGGGGGGUAGAAUUCCAGGUGUAGCGGUGAAAUGCGUAGAGAUCUGGAGGAAUACCGGUGGCGAAGGCGGCCCCCUGGACAAAGACUGACGCUCAGGUGUGAAAGCGUGGGGAGCAAACAGG
This 429-nucleotide ribosomal RNA is filed under the name Chloroflexota bacterium. Its description in RNAcentral is "Chloroflexi bacterium partial 16S ribosomal RNA". It matches the Rfam family "Bacterial small subunit ribosomal RNA", at positions 355 to 776 of the family's 1533-position model. Lineage: Bacteria; Bacillati; Chloroflexota. The record is from RNAcentral.